UACGUAGGGAGCAAGCGUUGUCCGGAAUCAUUGGGCGUAAAGAGCUCGUAGGCGGCUCAGUAAGUCGGGUGUGAAACCUCCAGGCUCAACCUGGAGACGCCACCCGAUACUGCUGUGGCUAGAGUCCAGUAGGGGAGUGUGGAAUUCCCGGUGUAGCGGUGAAAUUCGUAGAUAUCGAGAGGAACACCUGUGGCGAAGGCGGCCAACUGGACGAGUACUGACACUGAGACACGAAAGCGUGGGGAGCAAACAGG
RNAcentral lists this ribosomal RNA (254 nucleotides) under uncultured bacterium. RNAcentral's name for it is "partial 16S ribosomal RNA". It matches the Rfam family "Bacterial small subunit ribosomal RNA", at positions 524 to 776 of the family's 1533-position model. The record is from RNAcentral.